RNAcentral lists this long non-coding RNA (215 nucleotides) under Lathyrus oleraceus (garden pea). RNAcentral describes it as "Pisum sativum (pea) long non-coding RNA (PSAT_LNC005866)". The record is from RNAcentral. Lineage: Eukaryota; Viridiplantae; Streptophyta; Magnoliopsida; Fabales; Fabaceae.
UUUUCCUGAAGAAGUCCACCUCCACAGCCAAUUUCUUCUCUGCUUCCUCUUGCAAUCUGACGGCUUCCCCCUUCUGCUAUUCUGCCUCAUGGCAUAGAUGCAUACAGUCUUGCAAUUUCACACUCAACUCUGAGUUUUCAGUUUGAAGUUCCUCCAUGGCUUUCUUCAAUUUGUCAUACUCCUCUCGACUCAACAUUGUCGACUGCUCGGAAGCU